UACCCUUGGCAAUAGACAAAGAAACACUUUUUGCUGUUGUUCUUAUGUCAGUCAGAGGCAGAGCAGAUGGUGGGCCUUUGUUCAUCCUGUCUUGAUGCCUGGCUUGGUGGCCAAAGCUGUCUCAUGCCUAGGACUCAUAA
Molecule: small nucleolar RNA, 140 nt
Organism: Psammomys obesus (fat sand rat)
Lineage: Eukaryota; Metazoa; Chordata; Mammalia; Rodentia; Muridae
Product: small nucleolar RNA SNORA48
Exons: 1
Source: RefSeq, a predicted model, not a curated record